GACGAACGCUGGCGGCGUGCUUAACACAUGCAAGUCGAACGGAAAGGCCCUGCUUUUGUGGGGUGCUCGAGUGGCGAACGGGUGAGUAACACGUGAGUAACCUGCCCUUGACUUUGGGAUAACUUCAGGAAACUGGGGCUAAUACCGGAUAGGAGCUCCUGCUGCAUGGUGGGGGUUGGAAAGUUUCGGCGGUUGGGGAUGGACUCGCGGCUUAUCAGCUUGUUGGUGGGGUAGUGGCUUACCAAGGCUUUGACGGGUAGCCGGCCUGAGAGGGUGACCGGCCACAUUGGGACUGAGAUACGGCCCAGACUCCUACGGGAGGCAGAAGUGGGGAGUAUUGCACAAUGGGCGGAAGCCUGAUGCAGCAACGCCGCGUGCGGGAUGACGGCCUUCGGGUUGUAAACCGCUUUCGCCUGUGACGAAGCGUGAGUGACGGUAAUGGGUAAAGAAGCACCGGCUAACUACGUG
This 468-nucleotide ribosomal RNA is filed under the name uncultured bacterium. RNAcentral's name for it is "partial 16S ribosomal RNA". It matches the Rfam family "Bacterial small subunit ribosomal RNA", at positions 28 to 507 of the family's 1533-position model. The record is from RNAcentral.